AUCUUUUUAGUAUAAUAAAUAUAUUUGACUUCCAAUCAAAAGAUCUUUAAUAAAUCAAAAGAAAAGAUA
Molecule: transfer RNA, 69 nt
Filed under: Dalsira scabrata
Lineage: Eukaryota; Metazoa; Arthropoda; Insecta; Hemiptera; Pentatomidae
Description: tRNA-Gly
Rfam family: tRNA
About the family: Transfer RNA (tRNA) molecules are approximately 80 nucleotides in length.
Source: RNAcentral